Astyanax mexicanus (Mexican tetra) is the source of this 1128-nucleotide RNA transcript. RefSeq lists it as uncharacterized. The record is from RefSeq and is a predicted model, not a curated record. The transcript has 6 exons. NCBI's taxonomy places the organism in Eukaryota, Metazoa, Chordata, Actinopteri, Characiformes, Acestrorhamphidae.
GCUAAUUUUCGCGCAUGCGCAGUCGGCAGCUAAAUUUCGCGCAUGCGCAGUCGGCCGCUAAAUUUCGCGCAUGCGCAUACCACAUUAUAUUAUAUUUAAUUGGUCUUGUUGGAACACACCGCUAGGUAUACAUUAACUAAAAGUGUUGCUCGCUUCUGGCUCGGAUGCGGCUGUGCACUUGGGCGCGUGCAAUUCCACAGACUGCAACUGGAUUUUAUAAAGAUAAGAGAAAAGAAUGCUUUCGCCGUGGAUUUGACAUGAAAAGGGAAGCCCGGGCAGAAGAACGAGGAGCUGUACUCUCUGGGUGAAGGAGGAUUUGGCGCAGUGUUUGCAGGCUACUGACCUGAGGACCUACUGCCUGGACACCUGAAGAACCUCCCCCUGGAAGUGGCACUCAUGCACAUGGCUGGUGUUGACUCAUUCAUUGCUGGAGGGACCUCAAGCUUCUCCAUACAGCUGCUGAACUGGUCUAAGCUUCAGGAUGAGGUCGUGUUGGUGAUGGAGCCUAUGCUCCAAUGCUCUCCUUGGACCCCUUCGAUUACAUCCUGGCCAGCGGAUGCCUGCAGGAGGAAGAAGCCAAGGUACUUCUAAGGCAGCUAGUCGAAGGCGUGAUUGAGGUCCAUGCCAGAGGGGUUCUGCACUGUGACCUCAAGCCAUAGAACAUCCUGGUUCAGAUGUACAGUUUGGAACCACACCUUCAUAUUCUGUUCUUCUGGACCUUUCUCAUGAGUGGUUUACCCAUGAGGCCAAAUCCUCCACAGUGUUGCAGAUAGGAAUCAUCCUGCUGCGUGUGAGAGGUGACCCUUCAACACCAGCACGAAGAUCACCUCAAAGAAGUCUCAGAUCAUCUCUCCACCAUCUGCUCUACGACCACCCCUAGCUAAGUAUACACCACGACACAGCCACCACAUCAGGCACACCUUAGUCAGAUUUUUACAUUUUUCAAUUUGUGUAUUGACCCAAGGAGGAUGGGUUCCUCUCAAGGUUUCUAUCUCUCUUUCUGAGAGAAUUUUCUUUGCCGCUGUCUCCUUUGUGCUUACUCAAAAGAGGUUUGGACACUUUUUUUUUUUUUAACUGUUCUUAAUUUUUUUAAUGACUGUACAUUUCUUUGUCAAUAAAUGUUUUUUU